GGCUCUCGGCAACGGAUAUCUCGACUCUCGUAUCGAUGAAGAACAUAGUAAAAUGCGAUACCUGGUCUGAAUUGCAGACUCCUGUGAUCCAUCGAGUGUUUGAAUGCAAGUUGCACCCUAAGCCAUUCGGCCGAGGGCACGUCUGCCUGGGUGUCA
This 156-nucleotide ribosomal RNA is filed under the name Gossypium hirsutum (cotton). RNAcentral describes it as "5.8S ribosomal RNA". It matches the Rfam family "5.8S ribosomal RNA". Rfam says of the family: 5.8S ribosomal RNA (5.8S rRNA) is a component of the large subunit of the eukaryotic ribosome. It is transcribed by RNA polymerase I as part of the 45S precursor that also contains 18S and 28S rRNA. Lineage: Eukaryota; Viridiplantae; Streptophyta; Magnoliopsida; Malvales; Malvaceae. The record is from Rfam by way of RNAcentral.